RNAcentral lists this ribosomal RNA (253 nucleotides) under uncultured bacterium. RNAcentral's name for it is "partial 16S ribosomal RNA". It matches the Rfam family "Bacterial small subunit ribosomal RNA", at positions 524 to 776 of the family's 1533-position model. The record is from RNAcentral.
UACGGAGGGGGCAAGCGUUAUUCGGAAUCACUGGGCGUAAAGCGCGCGUAGGCGGCUUCUCAAGUCCUUCGUUUAAUCCUCCGGCUCAACCGGAGACCGGCGGAGGAUACUGGGUGGCUGGAGUUCGGGAGAGGGAAGCGGAAUUCCGAGUGUAGCGGUGAAAUGCGUAGAUAUUCGGAGGAACACCGGUGGCGAAGGCGGCUUCCUGGACCGAUACUGACGCUGAGGCGCGAAAGCCAGGGGAGCGAACGGG